AUGUUCUCUGUAGCUCUGCUGCUGCUGCUGGCUGCUGCAUCCUUUGUGAACUGUGAACAACUGAAUCAGCCAGCUUCUGUGACUCUGCAGCCAGGUCAACGUCUGACCAUCAGCUGCCAGGUCUCUUAUUCUCUUGGCAGCUAUCUAACAGCUUGGAUCAGACAGCCUGCAGGGAAAGGACUGGAGUGGAUCGGUAGAGCAGGAGAUGGAUGGACUACGUACUAUAAAGAUUCACUUCGGAACAAGUUCAGUAUCAGUUUUGUCUCGUCCAGUAAAACAGUGACUCUUAAUGGACAGAAUAUGCAGCCUGAAGACUCUGCUGUGUAUUACUGUGCCAGACAGACACAGUGA
This is a non-coding RNA of Poecilia reticulata (guppy), 351 nucleotides long. NCBI's taxonomy places the organism in Eukaryota, Metazoa, Chordata, Actinopteri, Cyprinodontiformes, Poeciliidae. The record is from the annotation of a RefSeq genome assembly.